Molecule: unclassified non-coding RNA, 205 nt
Filed under: fungal sp.
Lineage: Eukaryota; Fungi
Description: partial internal transcribed spacer region
Rfam family: Eukaryotic small subunit ribosomal RNA (bases 1-46)
Source: RNAcentral
AAGUCGUAACAAGGUAACCGUAGGUGAACCUGCGGUUAGAUCAUUAAUAAAUCUAGAAGGUCUUCAAGACCUCUCUAACAUCUUGUGAACUGUUUAUGUCUCUGGCAGUUUCUUCGGAUCUGCCGAGUAAACUUUGUAUUUUAUUUAGUCUAAAAAUUCAUAAAAGUAAUUAAAACAACUUUUGACAACGGAUCUCUAGGCUCUC